AACUAACGCUAUUAUUGAUACAGUUUCUGUACUUUAUUGGUAUGAGAAGCUUCCAGAAUUAUUCAAUUAAUUCGGAAAAUUUUGGAACGAACCUUCGGGU
This 100-nucleotide unclassified non-coding RNA is filed under the name Blechomonas danrayi. Its description in RNAcentral is "trans-spliced leader sequence SL". The record is from RNAcentral. Lineage: Eukaryota; Euglenozoa; Kinetoplastea; Trypanosomatida; Trypanosomatidae.